GAAAAAACUAGCCCUGAGAAACACCGCUCCUCCCGAUCUCCCGUCGAAAAGAAAAACGCAGGGACGAGUCGCUCCUGUCCCCUAGCCCCUCGCGCGCUAGGGUUCCUCACGGCGCCGUCGCUGUCGCCGCAUGGGUGUUCAUCCACUGGCCCUGCCUCCGGCGGCCGCCGCCGUAGCCGCCCACCUCCAUCCUCUCCCCAGCCCCGUCGGCCUCCACUUCACUCCCCUCCUCCGCGGGCGCCACCAAACCGCCGCCGCCCUCCCCCCGCACCCGCACCCAAGGACUCAGCCGGUGGCCAGAUCCGCCCCUCCCACUCACCCAACUCUCUCUUCGUCGCCGCCAUCUAGGCCGGCCGAUUCCGUAAUGAUCCGGCGCCGAUCCGUUCCUGUAGCCGCCGUCGUUCGCGUACAGAUCAGGCGCCGGUCCGCGGCCUGGAGUCUAGGAUGUCAGCGCCACCAGUUUACCGAUCAGGUCGUUAGCACUGCCGUCCAGGUGAUAAUAAACGCCGUUCACCACAACAAGAGGUGAACAACAAGAGGCGAGAGGCAGAUUCUAGAUAAGGGAGCAAACUGCGUAGCAAGAUCAAUAAUGAAUGGUUCAAGUCAUGUGUUACAAGUUACAAUGAGCAGGUGGUACUCAAGUCCGUUGAUGAUAAGGAUAUUAUUCGAACAUUUACUGCAAUGAGGUCUCGGAAAGGGCAUUUGCCUCGUGAUUGUCUUUAGUGCGCUGCCGGUAUUCGGCAUGCCAGCGCCUUCGUCGACUUCCACUCGCCAAUCUGUAACGCCUAUGCCCAUGGUGGCAGGUCACACUCUGAUGCAGCCGUGCACGCCGCCGCUACCAGACGACACCCCCAUCGAGUAAUACACCCCAGCCGAGAUUUUCUAUAUCAUCUCUGCCAAGGCGCAGUCAUCGGAAGAGAUUCAGGUAAGAUUAUCCUUGUUUUCUACAUCAAAUUUCUCAUGUUCAUCUGUCUAAUCUUUGAUACUACAUUUCUUAGCUAAUGUCCUCCUUGCCUGUACCAUGUUCAUAUGAUUAACAAAGGCUUGGCCAUCUUAAUAUAGUAGCCCGUGAGGUGGAUAUAUAUACUACUCCCUCCAUUCCUAAAUAUAAGUCUUUUUACAGAUUCCAAUAUGGACUACUGAGUGAAUCUACACUCUAAAGAAUGUCUAAAUGCAUCCGUAUGUAGUACAUAUUGAAAUCUCCAAAUGGACUUAUAUUUAGAAACAGAAGGAGUACUUCAGUUUGCAUGAGAGAAUAAUCACUUAUAUGUGUGCCUCGAUAUUAUAGUAGGAUUGCUUGGAUUAUUUCUGUAGUACUUUGUCCAAAAAUGUUGUUCUAAUCCCUAGCUCACUUGAACCUGGGUGAACAGUAAAAUAAUUAAAGAAUCUGAUAUAUUUUUUAGUGUGAAACAUUGACAAAUGUCUUCAUAGCAAAUAGAAAUUUGUCACCAGAUGACAUUCGUGGAAAAUAUGUCCAAAAAAUAGUUGCAAAUUUAUCACCAGAUAACAUUGUGGAAAAUAGUUGCGGCCGUACCGUGUGUUCUUUGUCGAAUUUGUGUUUGAUUUUUUCAUUAUAUAUUACUUCUUGCUUGCGCGAGGGUGGUUGUAGAUUUGUUAUUUUUUGCCCCGAAAAGAAGGUAACCGGAUUAGUAGUCUAAUUGAGUAGAUGCUGGUGAGGGAGGGUUACUUGAUUUUUAUUGAGUACAUUAUGCUCCGCUUUGUGAUGAGGUUUGAAAUUUGAUUGUUCUGAUGUGUAAUAGAGGGGGCAAAAGUGUUAUCCAUUUCAUUGUUUCUGUGCAUGUUUACGUUGACCAUCGGUGGCGGGAGGCGGCAUUGUUGGCGGCCGAAGGGGUGCUUGUGGAAGCAGGUGGUAUAGUCGGCAGCUGUGGGGAUUCGUUAUUCUCCGAGGUUGGCGGGCUCGACGCCAGGCUCGAUGGCGCUGCGGGAUUGUCAAGCAGGAAAAGUUCGUCAACUCGUCCAGUUUGAUGCUUUUCAACUGCUGGAUAAUGGUUUCGUGCCAUGCGUCGUCUCCAUGUAUUUACUAAAACAUUUACUAUGCUCUUCUAUUUGGAGAAAGAAGCCUGGUGCAGCCUACCAAGCUGGGGAGAGCCAUAGAAUGCCCAUCUUGGAAUUAGCUGUUCGACUGAAUGUCCGGGACAAAGAUAUUGCCACCUCCUUUGAGUAUGCUUGACUUGUAUAAUGCGAUUUUCAUUUAUUUAGAGUGAAUUACAUAAU
RNAcentral lists this ribosomal RNA (2235 nucleotides) under Triticum aestivum (bread wheat). RNAcentral's name for it is "partial small subunit ribosomal RNA". The record is from RNAcentral. Lineage: Eukaryota; Viridiplantae; Streptophyta; Magnoliopsida; Poales; Poaceae.